RNAcentral lists this transfer RNA (90 nucleotides) under Paracoccaceae bacterium. Its description in RNAcentral is "Rhodobacteraceae bacterium (sediment metagenome) tRNA-Ser". It matches the Rfam family "tRNA". From Rfam's summary of the family: Transfer RNA (tRNA) molecules are approximately 80 nucleotides in length. The record is from RNAcentral. Lineage: Bacteria; Pseudomonadati; Pseudomonadota; Alphaproteobacteria; Rhodobacterales; Paracoccaceae.
GGAGGAGUGGCAGAGCGGUUGAAUGCACCGGUCUUGAAAACCGGCGUGGGUGCAAGCCCAUCGUGGGUUCGAAUCCCACCUCCUCCGCCA